UUCACUCCCUCGUCCGCAGUCCGCACGAUCGAUAUCAACAAAGCUACAACGUCUGUAGCAAACCACCUACACAACACUAUUCAAAAUGAACCACAUAAUCAAAUGAACAACACUAACAGCUGUAACGACAAGAAAAUGUAAACAACAAAGAUCGGGUCCCGGUUCCGGACCCAGCGUACCCGCCCUACCUUAGACGAUCAUCUGAGCUUGUCUCCCUCAUUUUGGCCACUAGAUGGCCUUCAUCAGCCCGUGUCGGCUGUCAUGCCUCUCCCCAUCAAUUGAGACUUAGCCGGACAUUUCUCUCUUCAGUAGGGUAUCCCCAUUCUGCAAUUUAUUAUAUGCAAGCUGACAUAUGUAUGUCUUCAGCUCGUCAACAGAAUACAUUUUUAUUUAACAACUUUAAAGAGAACAGGCAACGAAAACACUGCCAAAGUUAUUGCCAGUCAACAAAAAAAAAACAAGGGGAAAGAUACUAAUAACAGGAAAUUUUCUUAAGUGAAACUCGGCCCAGGGGUAUCGAACAUGAGUCUACUUGUGCCUCUGCCUGUUACUCAAGGCGAGGGUGGGCGUUAUGGAUCGGAGUCACUCGGAUGAUGUGGACGUGGUCUCGCCCGUGGCCGCUUCUUGGCCUGUCCUUCUGGUUAGCGUCGGUGACACGUGUGCCGAGGGUAUGGCUGAUGUGCGCCGCUGCGUCGAAACCUGGCCUGGGUGUGACUCUGUUGGCCUCUCUGGUCCGAGAGCUUGUCCCUUCGUUGCCGGAACCAUGGGUCAUUUGUUUUAUAAAUGUUUUUAUUUGUUCGUCCCGUGUCGCAUAUAAGUUUUAAUAUUUUUAAUUUUUGUAUAUUGUAACACAAUGUUUGAAUUUAUGUUUCAUUAUUAAACCUCGAAAAAAAUA
This is a long non-coding RNA of Drosophila montana, 895 nucleotides long. RefSeq lists it as uncharacterized. The transcript has 6 exons. NCBI's taxonomy places the organism in Eukaryota, Metazoa, Arthropoda, Insecta, Diptera, Drosophilidae. The record is from RefSeq and is a predicted model, not a curated record.